GUAGGUGGCAAGCGUUGUCCGGAAUUAUUGGGCGUAAAGCGCGCGCGGGCGGUCCUUUAAGUCUGAUGUGAAAGCCCACGGCUCAACCGUGGAGGGUCAUUGGAAACUGGGGGACUUGAGUACAGAAGAGGAAAGCGGAAUUCCAAGUGUAGCGGUGAAAUGCGUAGAGAUUUGGAGGAACACCAGUGGCGAAGGCGGCUUUCUGGUCUGUAACUGACGCUGAGGCGCGAAAGCGUGGGGAGCAAACAGGAUUAGAUACCCUGGUAGUCCACGCCGUAAACGAUGAGUGCUAAGUGUUAGGGGGUUUCCCGCCCCCCUUAGUGCUGCAGCUAACGCAUUAAGCACUCCGCCUGGGGGAGUACGGCCGCAAGGCUG
This 375-nucleotide ribosomal RNA is filed under the name uncultured organism. RNAcentral's name for it is "partial 16S ribosomal RNA". It matches the Rfam family "Bacterial small subunit ribosomal RNA", at positions 527 to 896 of the family's 1533-position model. The record is from RNAcentral.